GGCUAGAUCCUAGGUGAUGGAAGAUCUUGAAACCCGCCAGGGCCGGAAGGCAGCAACGGUAGAGAUUGUACCAGGUGCUUAGGGCGUCUAGUCAUC
RNAcentral lists this signal recognition particle RNA (96 nucleotides) under Oligoflexales bacterium. RNAcentral describes it as "signal recognition particle sRNA small type". It matches the Rfam family "Bacterial small signal recognition particle RNA". From Rfam's summary of the family: The signal recognition particle (SRP) is a universally conserved ribonucleoprotein involved in the co-translational targeting of proteins to membranes. Archaeal SRP consists of a 7S RNA and homologues of the eukaryotic SRP19 and SRP54 proteins. The record is from RNAcentral. Lineage: Bacteria; Pseudomonadati; Bdellovibrionota; Oligoflexia; Oligoflexales.